CGUGAAGCCUCCGUGAUCUCAAAUUGUCAUUAUUCACUAUGUAAAAUAGUAAGGAAGUUAGUUAUAAAGUGCCUAGGAAAGACUUUAGAUCGAGUUGGCACUCAAUAAGGGCAAGUUUCAGGUAUCUGAAAAAGCCUCUUAGGACACCAGUCAGUGAGGGCAGAUAGGUGAGGCAUUAUUACCUUUGGAUACAGUGGAGAUGAUUUGUGCUAGAAGUUCAGCUGCUAUUUGGUCUUUGAUCACAGAGGUUUUGCAUUAGGGUCCUAUCUUGAGCUUAUAAUUAAGUACCCAUCCCUAAGGGUGGGUAAAUAGCCAGAAGUAAGCUGGUCACGUUGCCCUCCAGCCUAAAAUAUAGCACUUUCUGCUUUUGGUAGUUUUCCAGAAGCUAGCCUUUGAGGGUAUCUCGUUUUUUUUGUUGUUGUUGUUGUUGAGAUGGAGUCUCGCUCUGUUGCCCAGGCUGGAGUGCAGUGGCCUGAUCUUGGCUCACUGCAAGCUCCGCCUCCCGGGUUCACGCCAUUCUCCUGCUCAGCCUCCCGAGUAGCUGGGACUACAGGCGCCUGCCACCUUGCCCGGCUAGUUUUUUGUAUUUUUAGUAGAGUUGGAGUUUUCACCAUGUUAGCCAGGAUGGUCUCGAUCUCCUGACCUUGUGAUCCACCCUCUUCGGCCUCCCAAAGUGCUGGGAUUACAGGCGUGAGCCACCGCGCCCAGCCAAGGGUAUCUCAUUAUUUUAUGUUUUAUUUUUGCUUCGUCUUUGGGCCCAUACACCAUCCCUGCCACAGUGUGUGUGUAACAUAGUCAUUUUGCCUUAACCAUGAAGCUUGUUUUGUUUUGUUUUGUUUUGUGUUUUGAGACAGGGUCUCACUCUGUCACCCAGGCUGGAGUGUAGUGGCAUGAUCACAGCUCACCACAGCCUUGACCUCCUGGGCUCAGGUGAUACUCCCACCUCAGCCUCCCGAGUAGCUGGGACUACAGUCACCUGCUACCACACCCAGCUAAUUUUUGUAUUUUUUGUAGAGACGGGGUUCACCACAUUGCCCGGGCUGGUUGCAAACUCCUGGGCUCAAACCAUCUGCCUGGCUUGGCCUCCCAAAGUGCUAGGAUUACAGGCAUGAGCCACUGUGCCUGGCCCAUAAAGCAUUAUACUUUGUACCUAUACUAAAAGGCAUCUGAGAUACUUUCAGCAUGUUUGUCCAGUGUUUCCUUUUCAUUUAUAAUGAUUUAGUAUGAGCUAGCUGCCUACAUGUAAUAUUAACCACAACUUAAAAAAAUUUCCAACAAUCAAGGGCUCUGCGUUUUCAUAUUGGAUUUUUAAAUACUUCCAAUCACAGCAUCAUUACAACCACUUGAUUUGGUUAAAUAUACAUGUUGAAGUGUGCAAUGUUAUGUAUUUGAGGGGCCUUUCUAAAGAUCAGUUGGAGCCAGGCAUGGUGGUAUGUGCCUGUAGUCCUAAUUACUGGGAAGGCUGAAGUGGGUAGAUUGCUUGACCCCAGGAGUUAAAGGCUGCGGUGAGCUAUGACUGUACCACUGUACUCCACUGUGGACAACACAGCAAGACCCCAUCUCUUAAAAAAAAAAAAAAAAAGAAAGUAAAGAUCAGUUUGUGUGUUCUAAAUCUCCUGUUUUGCUAUCAUCAGUCCUUAAGAUACUAGGUAAUGUUGGCUUUUCAACCUACAGCUUUUGUUUUCAUGUCCUAAAAUUUUUUGAUAAAAGUCUGUAUUUUAUGUCUUAGGAGCCGUCCUUCCAUGGAGCUUGUUCUCUGGAAACCCCUCCCUGAACUCCUUUCUGAUAAGCCAAAGCCAUCCUCUAAUACUAAGAACUAUACAGGAGAGAGCCAAGCUAAGCAUGUAGCUGCUGGCACUGCCUUCCCUCAGAGAACUGAACUGUUUUCGGAACCUCGGCCAACAGGGAUGUCUCUUUAUAAUAGUUUGGAGACAGCUACUAGCACAGAAGAAGAGAUGGAACUCUAGAAACCAAUUUCUACACUAAAGUUGUCAAAUGUUAGAAGAAUCCUGUGUUCAGUUAUGAGACUCUUUGCAUAGUAUAGGGACUUGAAAGUUUUAUGAGACGGGUGUAAUAAUAUCUCCACCUGUGAUUUGGGGGUGGGACUCUUAUUUUGGGUAGCCAUUUAUUGACUUCACCUUUUUGCCAAGGACGUUUGUCUCAAGGGAAAAGCAGUUUUCUGUGGGGCUUAUUAAAGGAAUGUUGGUUUACAUUGUCUUCAAAGACAAGUAUAGAAGCUGUAUGUGUAAGGGUGACUUAAAUCAUAUGUCACAUUGUCUAAACUAUUCAGACACUUGGAGAAUAUUCUCCUUGAAUUAAAAAAGAUGAUUAAGAAGGAUGCUCCUACAACUGUAUCCUGACAGUUAAGUCACAGCUUAAUGUGUAGAUAUGAGCUGUUUACAGUGGUGACUAUAUAUAAUUGGGGAGAAGAAGGGAAGAGAGCAGCAGUAGCUUAAGCCUGUUGCUAAGAAAUUUAAUUUCUUAGCAACUUGUAAUUUAGUUAUCAAUUCAAUAUAGCUCUGUUGAUUAAAUAGCCGAUAGUAUUGUGGCUCUCCUCUUUGACUAUGAAAAUAUAGAGAAAGUUUUUUCUUUAAGGCUUUUUUGCCUUGUGCCACUGUUGCUCCUUGGUUUCCCUUGCGUAAUUGAUAAGCCCAGUUAUUCAGUAAUGUUUACAAAUUAAUUGACUUUGAUAGUUAAAAGAUUAUGAGGUAACCCAUCUGCAAUUUGCCUGUGGGAGAAGCAUCCUUUAGUUCAUCUUAAGGAAGUGCUUUAUCAGCUAAACCCAACAUUGAUAACUUUGGUAAUUUUUUUAAAAAGUUAUACUUGUAUUAGCAAGUUUUUUUUUUUUUCCCCCACCGCAACCUCCAUCUCCCGGGUUCAAGCAAUUCUCCUGCCUCACCCUCCCAAGUAGCUGGGAUUACAGGUGCCCACCUCCACGCCCAGCUAAUUUUUGUAUUUUUAAUAGAGACCGGUUUUGCCAUGUUGGCCAGGCUGGUCUCGAACUCCUGACCUCAGGUGAUCUGCCCACCCCAGCCUCCCAAAAUGCUGGGAUUACAGGCGUGAGCCACGGCACGCAGCCAGCAAGUUGUUUUUAAAUGUUAAUAUAGAAAACAGUGAAGGAUUAGCUGAAAAUAUAUGAGCAGGUGACAUUGAGGUUUACUGAAAUAGCCAAUUUGACUGGUGCUUAGACUAUUGUGCAGUAAACCUAAAAGGUAGUGGAGAAUUGCUUCCUGCUAGCAGGAAGCCUUCAUCUUCUUGAGUACCCAAACCAGGCUUCAGGUGUCCUUUGAGGAUAGCCAGGUUUGAAAUUUUUAGUUUCUCAGGAAGAGCUCUUCUAUGUGGCAGGGGCUGAUAGGGCAAAAUAAAAUGACAAUUUCUUUAUUGCUACAGAGUAUCCUCUAUAAGUUAUUAAACGAGUGUAAUGGUAUAAUGCCCUUCCAUCACACAACAGGACACCACCCCAGUUUUGUUUUCUGGGUUUCUUCCCCCUUUGUAGGAAUCAGAUACCUUUUGUAGAAAAAAAUGGCUUAUGCCACGUAAAGGUGAAUUUUUAGAAACCACCUUCUAGGCGUUUUUGGAACCCUUACUGAAAUCCCUCCCCUUGUUACAGAUGGCGUAGAAGUCACAAGUCUGUUAAUUGGACUGUUGCUUCUUUGCCUGUUCCUGCUUUCUCUUUCUGUCUGGAUAGUCAGGAAAAGAUUUAAUGUUUAAUAUUUAAACAAAAUAUUUAAUGUCUAUACAGUAAAAUUAUUCAAACUUCAAACCAGUAUUGAAAGCAGUUGGAAACCAGCUAAUAGUUUCUUAAUCUCAGAUUUCGAGAUGAAUGUAAACUGUAUUCUUUUGAAAUGUGCAAGUGUUUGAUUCAUGCCAUUUGAUAAACUUCUGCCUUGUAGUCAUUGUUUGAUGGGACCAACUUGUAAAGUAUGAGCCUUAAAUAAAUCUCCAUGCUGAAAAAUGUGUUCUAAUGCAACACAAAAACAUGAAGUGACUGCCCAGAGGUAGAGUUAGUGUUUAGGUGGAAAGGGAGAUGACAGCUUUCCAAAGAAGGACCUAAAACACACCAAGAUUGUCUUCUACAGGAAUUGCUGGGCAGGUCUCCGACUAAAGGUCUUAUGAUGAAAAGGAAGAAACAAGCCCCCAACACAAGGCUCUGAUACUACUGGUAAAUGUAGGAGAGAAUUAAGAAUCUGUUAAUUAAAAUCCAAACAGAGCUUAUUUCAGUAGUCAAGUUACCUGACAUGAUAAUUAUUUCUGCAGGAUAAUUGAUGUUUUAUGUUCUUUUUUGGACUUUAUCUUCUUGCAAAAAUUUCUACAAAAAUUGUUUUCUUCAUCCUUGUGGUGCUUAUUCAUCUGAGCCGUCUCCACAGUCCCAAUGCCUCUGCUUUUUGUUUUACUUUUGUAGCAUAAGGUUUUUGCUUUUGCUUUGCCUUAAGAGUUCCCUAGGGAGUUACCAGGGCUUUUCGUUUUGUGUAGCUUUUGCAGCAUGGAUCAAACAUUGGCUUACUGUGCUAAUGUGUGAAGAGAAAAAAUUCUCUAAAGCAGGUGAGCUUUAAUGAACAAAUGUGUAUUUUAUCUGAGUUUGAGUAGGGUGCGUUGUGGAUUUUGUUUUUUGGGUUUUUUUUUUUUUUUUGUAAUUAUAUGAAGAAAGUCCAGUUCUCAUAAAUAUUGAUCACUUAAAAAACUUACUCUUUCUUGAAAAGGUACACAUGUAAAAUUUAGGAAAAUAACUAAAGUAGGGGCUGGAACCAUAAGAAGAAUGUUUAUCAGCACGUUCAUUUAUUAUUUUGGAUUUGGAACUUGGCUUUGUUUUUCAAUAGUGACAAGAAUGGUUCAGUUCUAGGAAUGUUCUGGAAGAUGCUGUUAAUUUUACUUUAAAAUGAGAAUCUGGUGUUACUGUAUUUUAUCGUUUUCAAUAAAACUUCUUAAGUGUUUUGGACUUUUGAGAUAUUUGUAUUACUCCACUUAAAUAAUGAAAUCAGAUAUCUCCUUUCCUCUGAAUUGUAGUUGAAGCAGCAUUCAUAUCAGUGAAGGACUUAAAUUUAUCCUGAAGGGAUGAUUAUGUUGGGAUAAAGCUAAGUAUCAUAUUUGAAUUAGCUGUUCCCACAAUAGGCAGGCCAUGUGUUGCUAUUCUAAAACCCAUAGACUGCUUUCCACUCAGAGCAGUUCACUGCUAUUGUUAGUAUUUAGAUGGCAGUGGUAACUGUGUAUUCAAAAAUGUUAAAAUGGGCUAGGUACGAUGGUGCACACCUGUGCCAGCACUUUGUGAGACUGAGGCAGGAGGAUCACUUAAGCUGAGGAGAGACCAGCCUGGACAAUAUUAGCAAGACCUUUUCUCUUAAAAAAAAAAAAAAAGUAUAUAUAUAUAUAUUCAAAUGUAGAGUUGGAAGUGGCAUACAGAGUUCAUAGAGAGGGGGUUGAGGAUCUUUGAAAAUGGGGAAUGGAAAACCCAGUGAUGUUCACUUACAUGGUGUUUUCUUUUUUUGCGUGUGAGACGGAGUUUUGCUUGUUGCCCCGGCUGGAGUGCAAUGGCGUGAUCUUGGCUCACUGCAACCUCUGCCUCCCGGAUUCAAGCAAUUCUCGUGCCUCAGCCUCCUGAGUAGCUGGGAUUACAGGCAUGCGCCACCACACCUGGCUAAUUUUUGUGGGUUUUUUGUUGUUGUUGUUGUUGUUUUUGAGACGGAGUCUCGCUGUUUCGCCAGGCUGGAGUGCAGUGGUGCAAUAUCAGCUCGCUGCAACCUCCGCCACCCAGGUUCAAGCGAUUCUACUGCCUCAGCCUCCUGAGUAGCUGAGACUGUAGGCGCGAACCACCAUGCCCAGCUAAUUUUUCUUGUACUAUUAGUAGAGAUGGAGUUUCUCCGUGUUUGUCAGGCUGGUCUCGAACUCCUAACCUCAGAUGAUCUGCUUGCCUCGGCCUCCCAAAGUGCUGGGAUUACAGGUGUGAGCCACCAUGCCCAGCCGUUUCCUUUAAGACUUGACAGGUCACUGGGUGGCAGUAUUGCCUGCAUAUUUACAUUCUUUGAUAAAUGCAUUCCUGAUUUGGUGGGCAGGAGGAGUUAAGUUUGGGAUACAACUACAAAAAGCAAAGCAUGGUGGGUUUUUUUUUGAGAUGGAGUCUUCCCUCUGUUGCCCAGGCUGGAGUGCAGUGGCACAAUCUCGGUUCACUGCAACCUCUGCCUCCUGGGUUCAGGCGAUUCUCCUGCCUCAGCUUCCUGAGUAGCUGCGACUACCGGCAUGUGCCACCACGCCCAGCUAAUUUUUGUAUUUUUAGUAGAGACGGUUUCACCAUAUUGGCCAGGCUGGUCUCGAACUCCUGACCUUGUGAUCCACCCACCUCAGCCCCCCAAAGUGCUAGGAUUACAGGUGUGAGCCACUGUGCCCGGCUGCAUGAUGUUUUGUUUUUAAUCAAAAUUUGGAAAUCACAGCUAAAAAUGAUCUAAUUACAGGUUUGGAAACUAAAGCCUAAGUAGAUCGUGUCAUCCUGUUCCUCGGGUCAGUGUUCUUUCCACUUGACCAGUUGGUUUUAGAGUCUUUGCCGAUCUAAGAUGUCAUUUAGAUUUUGUUGAAAUAACUGAUAAUAUAGUUCAAGCAGUCUAACAUUAAACUCCUUGAGGAAACAUGGUUUAGUAUGUAUCAGUUUGGUACAAAUCCUAUAGCUGUGUUAAUUCCCUAGUUCCUCAGACUACCAGUAGCAUCUUAGAGAUGAAGUAGUUGUAAUUAGAACAGUGUUUGGAUUAUAGCUCCAGCAAGACAAUGAUGUUUGGUUGGGUGCAGUGGCUCAUGCUUAUAAUCCCAGCAUUUUGGGAGGCUGAGGUCGGAAAAUUGCUUGAGUCCACACGUUUGAGACCAGCCUGGACAACACAGUGGGACUCUGUCUCUAUAAGAAAUUUAAAAAUUAGGUGUGGUGGCUGUUCCCAGCUACUCAGGAGGCUGAGGGGGGAGGAUGGCCUGAGUCCAGGAGUUAGAGGCUGCAGUGAGCCAUGAUUGCGCCAUUGCAGCUCAGCUUGAGUGCCAGUGAGACCCUGCCUCAAAAAAGACUGAUGUUUUCCUUCAACAACUGGUUGGUUGGGUAAACAAGCCAGUCUUCCUAUUGCUUUUUUUUUUUUAAUGUAUUUAUUUUUUAGAGAUGGGGUCUUGCUUUGUUGCCCAGCCGGUCUCGAACUGGGCUCAAGCCAUCCUCCCACCUCAGCCUCUCAAAGUGCUGGGAUUAUAGACGUGAAGCACCGUGCCUGGCCCAGUCUUCCUGUUUCUUAAUGAACUUUAUGUCAUAAGAGAAUUGAAUUCUUAGGAGACUGGAACGUGACUGAUUAUUUUAAAGUGUGCCUGGAGUAAGCAGUAUUACCUUCUGCCUACAGUUCUGUCCCUACUUUCUCUCUGCUCCAAUAACAUAUCUAGUAGAAAAGCAAGGAGGGGGCCAGGUGCAGUGGCUCACGCCUGUAAUCCCAGCAUUUUGUGAGGCUGAGGUGGGUGGAUCACUUGAGGUCAGGAGUUUGAGUCCAGCCAGGCCAACGUGGUGAAACCCUAUUUCUACUAAAAAUACAAAGAUUAGCUGGGUGUGGUGGCAUGUGCCUAUAAUCCCAGCUACUCAAGAGGUUGAGGCAGAAUUGCUUGAACCCAGGAGGUGGAGGUUGCAGUGAGCCAAGAUCAUGCCACUGCACCCCAGCCUGGGCGACAGAGCGAAACUCAGUCUUUUUUAAAAAAAAAAAAAAAGAGAAAUAGAUUGGUGUGACAGGGCCUAGGGAAAUGGCAUGCAGGCAUCUUACCACUUGCCUCUUCAAUCUGAGACAACCCUCUGCAUUUAAUGGAACUCUGGCUUUGGUUUUGUGGGAAUAUCUUGAUUUUUGGUUCUAACCAUUCAAUUUGGUGUUUCAGUAUGAAAAUGUCCAUGAAUACCAGGUGUUUUCUCAAGGCUGUUUAGUAAUUUCCACCCAUCUGUGCAGGAAAUGAAAACCCUGAUAAUUUACACAGGUUAUAUAUGUCCUGUCCUGUUAGUACAGCUGCCUCUUUCAUGUGGUAUCAUUGAAUAUAAAUAACUUGAGCCUCAACCUCCAGAUGCUUGUGCUAUAAUGAUAGAGGAUAAAGUACAUCUGUAAUUACAUCUGCCUAUACAAUUCCUAAAUAGGUUCUUGGCCCUAAGGUUUGCAGAGUUAUAGAAAAUCAGGUGAGAUAAAGUUUUCAAUCAUGGGGUCAGCUGGAGGCUGUUCUUAUAUACAGAACCUUUUUUUUUUUAGGCAGUCUUGCUUUUUCACCCAGUCUGGAGUGCAGUGCUGCGAUCUUGGCUGACUGCAACCUCUGCCCCCUGGCCUCAAGCGAUCCUCCCACCUCAGCUUCCUGAGUGGCUGUGACCACCAGUGCACACCACCAUGCCUGGCUAUUUUUUUUUACUUUUCAUGGAGAGACGGGUUUGCCAUGUUGUCCAGGCUAGUCUUGAACCAAGCAAUCUGCUGGCCUCGGCCUCCCAAAGUGCUGGGAUUAUAGGUGUGAGCCACCAUGCCUGGCCUGUUUCUGAAGAAACUUAAGAGCCUAAGCAAGUUUGUAUUGCUGAGCACCAGGAUUGGGCCCUGGCUUCAACGACCGGAUCUUGAAGGCAGCUAGCUGACUUGCCUCCAGUCACUACAUGAAAGGCAUUCUAUUUUUUUUUUUCUUUUUUAAAUGGAGUUUCGCUCUUGUUGCCCAGGCUGGAGUGCAAUGGCACGAUCUCGGCUCGCUGCAUCCUCUGCCUCCCGGGUUCAAGUGAUUCUGCCGCCUCAGCCUCCUGAGUAGCUGGGAUUACAGGCAUAUGCGCCACCACACCCAGCUAAUUUUGUAUUUUUACUAGAGAUGGGGUUUCACUAUGUUGGUCAGGCUGGCCAUGAACUCCUGACCUCAGGUGAUCCGCCCACCUCAGCCUCCCAAAGUGUUGGGAUUACAAGCGUGAGCCACUACACCUGGCCUACACCAAAGGUAUUCUAUAAUCCACUUUGCCUUGCUGCUUGGGAUUCUCUGAAUCCUGCCUUUUUUCUACUCAUUCACUUUGACCUCCCCAGAGUUAGUCUUUGUAAGUUGGGAACAUAGCAUUUAAAUGCUAAAUUGGCAUAGAAUGAUUUCAUCUACUGGCAUAGGUGAAAUUUUUAUAAAUAAGUAAAGUCCUGUAAAACCUUGUAAGAUUUCCAAGGAAAAGAUGCUAUGAAGGAUGAGGAGGUUAUCAAGUCUUUGGGAGUUGUAUUAAUAUCACUAGGAUUUUUUCUUGAAGAGGUUUAUUUAUUUAUUUAUUUAUUUAUUUAUUUAUUUUUUGAGACAGAGUCUCGCUCUGUUGCCCAGGCUGGAGUGCAGUGGCGCGAUCUCCCCUCACCGCAAGCUCCGCCUCCCGGGUUCACGCCAUUCUCCUGCCUCAGCCUCCCAAGUAGCUGGGAUUACAGGCGCCCACCACCACGCCUGGCUAAUUUUUUGUAAUUUUAGUAGAGACAGGGUUUCCCCAUGUUAGGCAGGAUGGUCUCGAUCUCCUGACCUCGUGAUCCACCCGCCUCAGCCUCCCAAAGUGCUGGGAUUACAGGCAUGAGCCACCGCGCCUGGCCGAGGUUUAUUCUUUGAUGAAACAAAUUCUUGAGUAAAUAUAAUUCUGGAAGAGAUUAAAACCCUUCCAAAGUGGAUUAGGAGAUAAUAACUAACUAACUUUCCAGUGUUUAGGAUGGUGCCUAGCAUAUACUAAAUGCUUAUAAUGCAUCGUCUCUUUGAAUCUUAACCUUUAGAGAUACCAUUAUCCAACUUUACAGAUGAGGAAAUAAGUGAUUAUAUAUAACCCCUGGGUUACCCAGCUUACCAGUGGCAGAGUUGAAAAUAGGGAGUUUCAGUCUAGAAAAUGCUCUUAAUUCCCAUAAUAAGGGCAAGAGAAUCUCGAUAUGUGAUGGUGUGUCCUUGUUUAACAUUUAUAAGAUGGUGUAGCAAAUAGUGGUUAGGGUUCUAGCUCUUCCACUUACUAGCUGUGAUAUUGGUCAGUUAGGCUCAAGAAUCUGUCUCAGAAAGACAGUAACUGCUCAAAUUAUAGCUUAUAUCACUUAUGGCAGUCCAGAAUUAAAGCAGGCAGUAAUUAAGGUGGAAAAGCCUUCAGUCACUUUAAAAAGCGUUAGGCUCACUUCAGUUGGAUUAAUUCCUACCACAGCACACAGAUAAACAUCUGGAGAGAAAACAAGACUUACGGCCCUAGAAGAAAUCAAACAAGGAUGCUGCAUUGUACCUUUUAAUUGCAUGGGUAGUUUUAAAUAAAUGGAGAAAGCACCUUUCAGAAGCUACACUAGCAGGAAAAAAUUCCAUCAAGCAUUUACAUAGUAAAUUUCUAUAAUUUCACAAAAGAUUCUUGAUCUUACUUGAAGUAUACAUGAGGGAAAGAGCCCCCUCAGCAGGUGUUCCCGUUGCUUACAGAAGCAAACUAAAGGACCUAAAACUGGAGGCAAGCCAGGAUGCCAAAAAGGGGGAAGAGAAAUGAUAAAGAACCAUUCAUAAAUUCCAUGUCUACUUCAAGACAUUUGUCUAAUGACCCUUACAUAAUAAGUAUUUUAGGGAAAACUACCACCCUUUUAAGAUAAAAGUACAAUCUUAAAAGCUGUAGUUCUCAAUUAUAGUAAUAUUUCUUACUUCCAGUAAUAUGUCUCAAUACCUUGGACUGCUGGAUGUCAAAAGACAAUACCUGGGGGUCAUCUAUGAGAUCUGAACAAAUAGAGGAAUUCUCUAGGACUGUAUACUCUCUAUUUUGGCUUUUUGAAUGAAGUACAGACAGGCUUCUCUGCUAUCCUCCAGGCAGUGUAAUAGUCAAGGAAAAGGGCAACAGUAUUGGAUCAUUCCUUAGACACUAAUCAGCUGGGGAAAGAGUUCAUUGGCAAAAGUGUCCUCCCAAGAAUGGUUUACACCAAGCAGAGAGGACAUGUCACUGAAUGGGGAAAGGGAACCCCCGUAUCCACAGUCACUGUAAGCAUCCAGUAGGCAGGAAGAUGGCUUUGGGCAGUGGCUGGAUGAAAGCAGAUUUGAGAUACCCAGCUCCGGAACGAGGUCAUCUUCUACAGGUUCUUCCUUCACUGAGACAAUGAAUUCAGGGUGAUCAUUCUCUGAGGGGCUGAGAGGUGCUUCCUCGAUUUUCACUACCACAUUAGCUUGGCUCUCUGUCUCAGAGGGUAUCUCUAAGACUAGGGGCUUGGUAUAUAUGUGGUCAAAACGAAUUAGUUCAUUAAUGGCUUCCAGCUUGGCUGAUGACGUCCCCACUGACAGAGAAAGGGAGGCUGGUAAGGAACUGGGUCCUUCUGGGUAGACCUCUGGGAGCUCCUCCAGGCUGGCAGGCUCUGGGGAAGGGCAUUUGAAGAACAUGACUGGGUCCAAGUUGUCCAGAAUGCCCAACAGGAUAUCAGACUGUAAGAGGCAAAAAUUAAAUGAAGUACAACUGUCAGAAUACAAUGGAAAAUCUAACUGGAACACUUUGUACUGGGUUCCAUAAUGUAAAUUAGUCAUUAUGUGAUAAGAUGACCUCGGGACCCACCAGACCCAUUUAUCUACACUUCACUCCAUGUUCUAUAUUACCUGGAACUAGGAAGGUAGUUGAUGUUCACCUCCAACCCCACCAAAAACUAACUUCAACCCUCAUCUGUCUAGUUAGGGAUGUCAAGCAUCAAACAGAUGGAAUUAACUGGUUAUAUAGCUCUUUAAUAAGUCAGAAUGAUCCCUACCUCUGAAUCUGAAGAGUCAAUACCGCCAGAAUCCAUGGGGAGAUGUUCUGGAGGGGUGACAACUGGGCCUGCACCUGCUGCAGAGGUGCACGUAGUCUGAGUGCUGCGGACUCAGCAGACCCGGCCACUGGCCUCACUUCAUUCCCCUGGGAGGAAAGACCAAAGUGAAUAAACAGCUUCAAGUGCCCAAGGAAAUGCUUGCUAGACAGCUGUGAUUCUCAACUUUAAAGAAUUACUUUUCAAAAAGAUUCUAGGGUUAAAUUGCUAUAGAACUUUAUUAUCUAACAACAUUAUUAUUAUUGAGAAGAGCAAGAUAAGAUAUUUGCCAGUUCUGCUUGAAUCUUUGCCUGGAGGAGGAAAAAUGUUUCAUUGUGCAGGAAAUGUAUAAGGAAGCCUUACCUCCCUUUUCUCAUCUCUUGAGGACUUAAAAGUGGAAAUAACAAUGGUUAGGGAAAGAUUUCAGCUGUAAAGAAUGGUUUUCUAGUUUUCUUGAAAUUUGUCCUGAACAUUACCUUCACAGAGUAAAACUGUGCUACUGUCAAUCUUAGACCAUUUGAUUGUUGUCACUGAAUUUGCCAUAAUCUGUAGACUAAAACUCACAUACCACCCUUCUCUUACCACAGAGGUAUCACUAUUACAAAGAAUCCUUUCCCUACUCAUUCAUAUUCAUCAAAGAACUACUUUAAUUUUAGUAGCGUUCAAAAUCUGGUUUGAGUGGCUCUCUUACUUUGGUUCUCCUUAAUGAUUGCAUGGUAAUCUUGUUGGCUACUGCAUUUGUUAGUACUUGUUCUUAGGGAGCCAUGUAACUUGUUUUCAUUAUUAGAUCUUAGUACUGUUCACUACACACUUAAAAAAUGAGUGUCAAGUGCCUUUAGGGGAAGAACACUCUGCCUGCAUGAAAAUGUCUUAAAACUGAAGGAAAAUUUCAAGAACGCUCUUGAUCAGAAGUCCAGACUGUAAACAUAAUCGCUGGGUCAUGUCACUUGGAACCAGUACUCACAUGAGGCACCAAAUAAAGGAGAUGAUUUACCUUGGCUUCCGCCUCCUCUUCAGCAACCAGGGCAUCCAUCCCCAAGCGCUGUCUUAACUCCUGGUUCUCAACUACAAGGCCAUGAGUUUUCUCUCGUAAAAGCUGAUUUUCUAGCAAAAGUUUUUGGUUCUGGAAGAAAGUUCAUAAGAGGCUAUUAAAACAUCUAAUUAUUUCAGUUAAGAAUCUACCUGAUUCAGUAUAAUUGGUUUCCUUUCCUUCUUGAACUUUUGGAAAACUCUAUGCUUGUGGUGUUCAUAGUAGGUUUUAAAAAGCUAGGCCAUAAUUAUGGAAAAGCAAGCUACUUAAUAAGUGCCACUUCAUGGGGUCAAGAAUAACACACUGCUUCCAACUACUAAUACUGACUUCAGCAAAGGGUGACUUGUGGCUUUAAUGUAGAUAUAAUUUUUUUUUUAAACUAUCUUGGCCAGGCUCGGUGGCUCACACUUGUAAUCCUAACACUUUGGGAGGCCAAGGCAGGUGGAUCACCUGAGGUCAAGAGUUCAAAACCAGCCUGGCCAACAUGGCAAACCCCCAUCUCUACUAAAAAAUCCAAAAAUUAGCUGGAUGUGGUGAGGGGUGCCUGUAAUCCCAGCUAAUCUGGAGGCUGAAGCAGGGAGAAUUGCUUGAACCUGGGAGGCAGAGGUUGCAGUGAGCCGAGAUUGCACCACUGCACUCCAGCCUGGGCAACAGAGUGAGACUCCAUCUCAAAAUAAUGAUGAUGAUAAUAAUAAUAAUAAUAAUAUAAAAUAAAAAUAAAUAACUAUCUUGAACUGGCAGGUAAUAAUAAAAGUGGUAGUGGUGACUAUAAAUCCAAAAUAAGUUAAAAAAAAUCCCUGCUCCUGACUCAUGAUUCUUAGAAGAACCAACUAAUGAUUAAAACUUUAAAAAGCUCAAUAUAUGCAAAUUGACCAAGGGGUUAAAAAAACAAUAUAAAUAAUCUCUAUGUAUUCAAGAUGUGUAAUUGGCAACAAUUUAAGAUUGAUUAACAGGUGGACCCUAGAGGGGGAAAGGAACCUUUAGUGAAUUUCUGGCCAUGCCAGGAAGAAUGUAAAGUUUAAGCAAUUAUUUCCUAUUAGCCCUUGCUAAUUUCUUACUACAAACUCAAUAAACAUUGUUAAAUCCAUCUACUUUGAGAUACAUCUAGCACCAAAUGCCACAAAGUCAAUCACUUCUGCCCUCAACAAGCUUCACCACUUCACCAACUCUCUGUCCUAACUUAGAUUAACUUUUUUUUUUUUUUUGAGACAGGGUUUUUGCUCUGUCGCCCAGACUGGAGUGCAGUGGCAUGAUCUCGUGAUCUCAGCUCACUGCAACCUCCGCCUCCUGGGUUCAAGUGAUUCUCCUGCGUCAGCCUCCGGAGCAGCUGGGAUUACAGGUGCCUGCCACGACACCCGGCUAAUUUUUGUAUUUUUAAUAGAGAUGGGGUUUCACCACGUUGGUCAGGCUGGUCUCGAACUCCUGAUCUCAAGUUAUCUACCCACCUUGGCCUCCCAAAGUGCUGGGAUUACAGGUGUGAGCCCCGGUGCCCAGCAAACUUUUUUUUUUUUUCUUGAGACAGAGUCUCACUCUGUUGCCCAGGCUGGAGUGCAGUGGUGCGAUCUCAGCUCACUGCAACCUCCCUCUCCCAGGUUCAAACAAUCCUCCCACCUCAACCUCCCGAGUAGCUGGGACUACAGGCACUCACGCUUGGCCUUUUUUUUUUUUUUUUUUUUGGUAUAUUUUUGGGUAGAGACGGGAUUUUACCAUGUUGGCUAGGCUGGUCUCAAACUGCUGGCUUCAAGUGAUCUGCCCAACUCAGGCUCCCAAAGUGCUGGGAUUACAGGCAUGAGCCACCAUGCCCAGCCUAGUUUAACUUUUAAUCAUAUAUUCAAUUGUAUUCUAAUAGGGGCUGAAACAACUUGGGAUGGGAAGCAAAUAUCAGAACAUUCACCAAGGAAGGGUAUACAAUGGAUAAAAGAGUUUGACCUUAAGUAGUUUUACCUCUUCUUCUAAAUCUACCACUUGCUGUUCCAGCUCACUCAUUCGAGCCUUCUUUCGAUCUCUGGCAGUCUGAGCUGCUACUCUGUUUUUCAGUUUCCUAGGAAGAGAAGGAACAUACCACACUGAGUCAUAUCAAACCUUAUUUAUGUCUUUAUUUGAAAACUUUACCAGCUGGUGCUUUCAUUUUUAUUUACAGUAUAAGACAGACUAAUGAUAAAAUACACUUCAGGCUCCUCCCCUCAAUAAAACAAAAUAAAAAAUACAGUCUUCUGUCAAUCUAGCUCGAAGACCUGCUUUAUUCUCUCCUAUAUUGCAUCAUCCGUCCACCUCAGACUCAUCCCCGUCACAGCACUGGGGCUGGACACACACACUAUUCAUCUUGCAUCAUAAGGAACUUUCCUCUUUCCCCAUCUAUUCCCCCGCUGCUUCCUGUCUCCAGUUCUCUUAAACAGGAUCCAACCUGGCCUCAUUAAUCUAGUGAAGGCUGCAAUCUUGCUAUGACAUCAACCCUCCGUCCCCCAGUCCAAUUUAGAAAAGGGAGAGGCUGAUGCCACUCCCUGAUCUCUAGUGUUGAGAUCCUAGGCAGUGACCUGCUGAUGGGUCCGUGUCUGUUGGAGGAGACACUUUUUUUUUUAAAAGAAUUAACUCAGAAGAGACACUUCAUAAAUCACAGAAGGCACAAUGAUCACAAAAGAGUGAACAUUUACGGAGGACUAAGUGCUAGGCACAUUAUAUCCAAGUCUCAAUCUCCCCAAAGACCUCAUGAAGUAGGUUCCAUUUUAAGAACGCAGAUACUGAGCUAGACCAGUGAGCCUCGCAGAAUUCCCAGCCCUUUCAACAGCUCUGUUAUUUCAGCUCCGCGCCUCUCCAGAAAUAGCAGUAAACCAAAACAGAUUAUUCGACCUCAUGUCCGAGUUAAGAGGCUGAACCACCAGUCUGCGGCCACACAGCAAGAGGGCCUGGAAGACAGGUGCCCGCAUCCCCAGCUCUGGUCAUCUCUAACGAGAGAGUUAAAAAGUACAGAAAAGAGCCCUGGGCCGCCCUAGGUUCCCAGCGUGGCGGAUCCGGUCAGUCCGGGCUUCCUGCCCCGCCCCGCGCCACGCUGGCACCGACCCGCCAGGCCAAAGGCGACGGAGCCCUGCGGGGCGGCCAGUGCUGGGUCCCCGCUCCCAGCCCCUGCCCCUGCCCCUGUCCCUAGUCCCGGCUUCAGAUCUGGCCCCAGACCCCGGCCCCUCGCCCACCUCCUCAGCGCCUUCUCCUCGGGGCUCAGGUGCGUGAGGCGCUGUCGCUUGCGCGCCUGGGGCAGCCCCCCGCUCGCUGCCUCCGGGCUGGCCCCUCUCUGGGCUGGCACCAUGAGCGGCAGGGCCUGGCCGGCCGGGGCUCCGGCGGCGGAGGCGGGCUGCCCCGACAGAAGCAGAACUUUAGGGGUCCCGUCGGCCGGGUUCGGCGCGGCUGCCACCACCACCAUAGCUCCAGACUACGCACCGCGCACCGCGCGCCGCAGCCGCCCAGCGCCCAGCCUCGCCGCGCCCGGCCUUUCUACGGUCGUGGCCCUCCGCGAUUGGCCAGCGUCGCGUGACGCACGGCCGAGCUCGGCGUCCAUUGGUCCGGCCUGCCCGGCGGGGCGUUUCAGGACCGUGGCUAUGGAGUCCGGCGUGGCAGCGGCAAUCCCUGGCCAAAGGUACUUGGGGUCAUUUUCCGCGGGGGGUUACGUGCGGGAGCGUGUCCUCCACAAACGGAUUUUCCCCCCUUAAGCGGACUUAUUUCCAUCCGGAGUGACAGAAUUUAAUUCCAAACCGAGAGCUUUCCAGACUGACGAAUUUUUACCGGGACUAACAGAGAAUUACCUCAGCCUGACAACAUUUUAUCUCGUGCGCCACUUCGGGAUCCGAGUGGAGCCGAAAGUCGAGAUAGAGCGCAGUUGGGCCUUGGGUUCGAAAAGACUGGACAGAGGUUUCAGUGAGCCGAGAUCGCGCCACUGCACCCCGGCCUGGGCGACAGAGCGAGACUCCGUCUCAAAAAAAGAAAAAGAAAAAAGCCUGGAAAGAAAUUCUGCGGAAUAGAAGUCUUUAAGAAAUGAGAUCGUGCCCUUUAAAACUAAGUUUAACAAUAGUGAGGGCUUAAUAAACGAUAGGUGUUAUCUCUGGGUUGGAGGGGAAUACCUUCAAUUUUAGUUUUUCGUUCCAUUUCUAAAGUUUGUACUAUGAGCGUGCAUUUUUUUAAAUUUAGUUUUAUUUUAUUUUUUAAAUAGAAACGAGGUCUCACUGUGUUGCCCAGGCUGAUCUCGAACUUCUGAGCUCAAGUGAACCUCCCGCUUCGGCCUCUAUUAUUUUUAUUUUAUUUUUUUUUCUUAUUUUUUGAGACGGAGUCAGGCUCUGUCACCAGGCUGGAGUGCAGUGGCGAGAUCUCAGCUCACUGCAACCUUCGCCUCCGGGUUCAAGCAAUUCUCCUGCCUCAGCCUCCCGAGUAGCUGGGACUACAGGCGCCCGCCACCACACCCGGCUAAUUUUUUGUAGUUUAGUAGAGGCGGGGUUUCACCGUGUUGGCCAGGAUGGUCUCCAUCUCCUGACCUCGUGAUCGCCCGCCUCGGCCUCCCAAAGUGCUGGGAUUACAGGCGUAAGCCACUGCGCCCAGCCUCUUGUUAUUUUAAAUGAGGGGACAGGAAAACGUCACAUGUAGAGACUGAGACCCCGGGGUUGACCCUGAGCCCCCUCUCCGAGGGGAGGUCGAGGUUCCUGCCUGGCCAUUGUGGCGUGAGGGUGGCCAGGUGUUUGUGAAAGAGGGGCCCCCAGAGAGCAGCACGGGAGCGAUUUAUACACACGAAUAUUAACAUGGAGAAGUCCGAGAAACCCCCGUAAAUAUGCCUGUCCACUUUUUUUAAAGCAAAUUACAAAAUGUGAAAUUCCCCAGAAAUGCACAGCAAUACCUUCUCUAACAAGUAAUUAUUGCUUCCUCCUCUGCGGGCAGCACUAUUCCAGGUUCUAGGGGUGCAAACAGUAGUAAGACUGCUACCUGGUAUUUGGAGGAUAUGCAAAAAGUGAAAUGUUAAGAUAGCAGGUUCCUAAGUAAUUCUUUAGUGUUAUUAAGUCGGAUUAGCUGGUCAAUUUUAUUUUGGUAGGGAGGGAACAGGAUGGGAAAAAGAACUAAAAGCAAGUCCAUCUCUUGAUAUCUAAGCCCUCUAAAGGGACAUAGUUUUGGUUUUUGCCAGGACUGGGCCACGAGUCUCCUAACGUGUUUUCUCCCUCUUCGUUGGGAGGGAAAUCAAUGAUUUUUUUUUUUUUAACUGGGCUGUCCCAACUCCAGAGCCUCCUGAGCACGUGCUGUCCUGUGGGUUGGAAAAGAGGUGGGGGUGAUUGGAGUCUCUGCCGGACCAAGAAACCAACUUCCUGUUUAACUCUCAUCAGCUUGGGCCACCUGGGUUCUGAUGUGCCUUCAGAUGUGGGGAGACUUACUCCGGGCCUCUGAAAUGUUUUGGGAGAAGUCUGGAGGUGUCUUCUAGCCGAGACCUAUAGCUUCAUAUUAAAAGACCUUGGAAAGCUGUAAGAGGCUGUUAGAAAAGUCAUGUCAUGUCAUGCCACCUGUUACGUUUUAUUUUUUGAUGCCUUUUUUUUCCUUUUUUUUUUUUUUGAGACUGGGUUUCGCCACGUUGCCUAGGCUGGAACUCCUAGGCUCAAGCGAUCCUCUUGCCUUGGCCUCCCAAACUGCUGGGAUUGCAGGCAGGAACCACAGAGCCCGGCCCUUUUUAUUUAUUAAGUGAACAUUUAUUAAUGCCAAGAGAAUGUCUUUCACUGUGUAAGAAAGAAAAUGCUGGAGGACCCUUUUAGUCCAGCAGGGUGUAGUGAGUAACUGAGUAGAGAAAGCACAGGGUGCGGGAUGGGGAAAAAAGGUUGAUGAAUUGCACUUUGAUCUUAGUUAAUGCGAUAUUGAAAUUCACUUCCCCAGCUUGUUUUCAAAACUUUUAUAUUUUUGACAAACACUUUAAAUCAUACUAAAAACAAUAAUUUGACCCACUACAGAUUGCUGUCCAUGCAGUCUUGAACAUGUGAGUCCAAACCCUUGGACAGUUUCAUAUCCUCUCUAUAAAAUGAACCUGGUAAUUCUUGCAUCAGGUGCCAUAAGUGUUUAAAAAUAUUUACUAGACACCUGUGAUAAGAGCUAUAAAAUAUAUAAAUUACAAAGUUCUCGGUCUUUGAGGCCAAACGCGGUGGCUCACCCCUGUAAUCCCAGCACUUUGGGAGGCCGAGGUGGGCAGAUCACCUGAGAUCAGGAGUUCGAGACCAGCCUGGCCAACAUGGUGAAACCCAGUCUCUACUAAAAAUACAAAAAUUAGCCGGACAUGGUGGGGGGCGCCUGUAAUCUCAGCUACUGGGGAGGCUGAGGCAGGAUAAUGUCUUGAACCUGGGAGGCAGAGGUUGCAAUUAGCCAAGAUUGUGCCAUUGCACUCCAGCCUGGUCAACAGAGUGAGACUUUCUCAAAAAAAAAAAAAAAAAAAAAAAAAGUCAUUAUUCAGAAAGAAUCAGUCAGGAAAGGGUGGACAAAACAGGAACAGAAAUAAAUAGGCAUUCCAGAAAAGGGAAAACAGAAAAAUACUGUACACUGGUAAGCAGAAAACAGAAAAUAACAUGGCAGGAAUAAGUCCAAAUAUAUAAAUAAUAAAACAUAAAUGUGAAUGGGUUAUAUUAUCUUCUUAAUCAUGCUGUUUUGUUUUAUGUAUGUCUCUUUAUAAACAACAUAUAGCUGGCUUUGGGGUUUCUCAGAGCUCUCUUUUAAGAAGAGAAUAUAAAUCAUUUGUAUUUAUUUUUGAUUAUUUAUUUAUUUGGACUUAUUUCUGCCAUGUUAUUUCACAUUUUUUGUUUACUAUAUUUCUCAAGGCAGGAGGAUUGCUUGAGGCCAGGAGUUCAAGACCAGGCUGGGAAACAUAUUGUGACCUUGUCUCUACAAAAAAUUUAAAAAAAUUAACCAGGCGUGGUGACUUGCACCUGUAGUCCCAGCUGCUCGGAAGACGGAGGUGGUAAGAUCCCUUGAACCCAGGAGUUCGAGGCUGCAGUAAACUAUGAGCUAUGAUUGAACCAUUGUACUCCAACCUGGGAGACAGAAUGAGCUCCUGCCUCUAAAAAACAAAAAUUUUUUUAAAAAAAAGGAAAAUGACUUACCAGCCAUUUUUAUGUUUAUGGAAAUGUUUAUGGAAAGAAAGCAUAUGUAGCAAUAUUAAUAUGAGACAGAAUUUAUCAUAAAGGCAUUAAAAGGACAAAGAAGGGUAUUUCAUGUUGAUUGAAGGUACAAGUUACCAUAUAUACAUCUUUAUGAACAUAGCAACAUAAUUUUGAAAUGUAUAGGCCUAGCAUGUCGGCUCACACCUGUAAUCUCAGCACUUUGGGAGGCUGAGGUCAGGGGUUCAAGACCAGCCUGGUCAACAUGGCGAAACCCCGUCUCUAUUAAAAAUACAAAAAUUAACUGGGCAUGGUGGCACGUGCCUGUAAUCCCAGCUACUGAGGAGGCUGAGGCACGAGAAUUGCUUGAACACGGGAGGCAGAGGUUGUAGUGAGCCAAGAUCGAACCACUGCUCUCCAACCUGGGUGAGGGACACAGCAAGACUCUGUCUCAAAAAAAAAAAAAAAAAAAAAAAAUUAGCUGGGCUUGGUAGUGUGCACUUGUAGCCCCAGCUGCUCGGGAGGCUAAGGUGGGAGGAUCAUUUGAGCCCAGAAGAUUGAGGCUGCAGUGAGCCGAGAUGGUACCACUGCAUUCAAGCCUGGGUGACAGAGUGAGAUCCUGUCUCAAAAGAAAAAACAAAAGAAAAUUGGCUGGGCACGGUGACUCAUGCCCGUAAUCCCAGCUCUUUGGGAGGCUGGGGCGGGGAUCCCCUGAAGUCAGGAGUUUGAGACCAGCCUGGCCAACAUGGUGAAACCUUAUCUGCCGAGACCAGCUCGGUCAGGGAGACCCUAACCCAGCAGUGCUAGAGGAAUUAAAGACACACACACAGAAAUAUAGAGGUGUGAGGCCGGGCGCGGUGGCUCACGCUUGUAAUCCCAGCACUUUCGGAGGCCGAGGCAGGCGGAUCACGAAGUCAGGAGAUCAAGACCAUCCUGGCUAACACGGUGAAACCCCGUCUCUACUAAAAAUACAAAAAAUUAGCCGGGCGUAGUGGCGGGCGCCUGUAGUCCCAGCUACUCGGAAGGCUGAGGCGGGAGAAUGGCGUGAACCCGGGAGGCGGAGCUUGCAGUGAGCAGAGAUCGUGCCACUGCACUCCAGCCUGGGCGAGAGUGAGACUCUGUCUCAAAAAAAAAAAAAAAAAAAAAGGAAAUAUAGAGGUGUGAAGUGGGAAAUCAGGGAUCUUACAACCUUCAGAGCUGAGAACCCUGAACAGAGAUUUACCCACAUAUUUAUUAACAGCAAACCAGUCAUUAGCAUUGUUUCUAUAGAUAUUAAAUUAACUAAAAGUAUCCCUUAAGGGAAACGAAGGGAUGGGCUGAAUUAAAGAAAUAGGUUGGGCUAGUUAACUGCAGCGGGAGCAUGCUCUUAAGGCAUGAAUUGCUUAUGCUAUUGUUUGUGGCUUAAGAAUGCCUUUAAGCAGUUUUCCGCCCUGGGCAGGCCAGGUGUUCCUUGCCCUCAUUUCCGUAAACCCACAGCCUUCCAGCUUGGGCGUUAUAGCCAUUAUGGACAUGUUACAUUGCUGCAGAGAUUUUAUUUAUGGCCAGUUUUGGGGCCAGUUUAUGACCAGACUUUGGGGGGCUUGCUCCCAACAGCUAUCUCUACUAAAAAUAACAAAAAUUAGCUGGGCGUGGUGGUGGGCGCCUGUAAUCCCAGCUACUCAGGAGGCUGAGGCAGGAGAAUCACUUGAACCCGGGAAGGGGAGGUUGCAGUGAGCCGAGAUCGCACCAUUGCACUCCAACCUGGGCAACAAGAGUGAAACUCUGUCUCAAAAAAAGAAAAGAAAAGAAAUGUAUAAAACAAAGACUGAAAUGAUGAAAAUGAUCCACAAAUCACAAUGGGAGAUAAAUACAAUUCUCAGAAUCAACAGAGGGAGCAGACAGAAAAAAUUUGAACAGUACAACUUUCCUCCCAACCAAGGACUUAUGUUUUUUCUUUUUUUCGAGACAGAGUCUCCCUCUGUCACCCAGGCUGGAGUGCAGUGGCGCGAUCUCGGCUCACUGCAAACUCCGCCUCCUGGGUUCAAGCAAUUCUCCUGCCUCAGCCUCCCGAGUACCUGGGAUUACAGGCGCCUGCCACCAUACCCAUCUAAUUUUUGUUUUUUUAGUAGAGACGGUUUCACCAUGUUGGACAGGCUGGUAUAGAACUCCUGACCUUGUGAUCCGCCCGCCUCGGCCUCCCAAAGUGUUGGGAUUACAGGUGUGAGCCACUGUGCCCAGACAGGCCUAUGUUUUUUCAAUUAAGAAACAUUCUCACUUUUUUUUUUCUUUUUGAGAUGGAAUCUCGCUUUGUUGCCCAGGCUGGAGUGCAGUGGCACGAUCUCAGCUCACUGUCUUACUGCAACCUCCGACUCUUGAUUCUCCUGCCUCAGCUUCCCGAGUAGCUGGGAUUACGGGUACAAGCCACCAAGCCUGGUUGAUUUUUGUAUUUUUAGUAGAGACAGAGUUUCACCAUGUUGGCCAGCCUGGUCUGGAACUCCUGACCUCAGGUAAUCCACCUAAGUUGGGCUCCCAAAGCGUUGGGAUUAUAGGCGUGAGCCACGGGACCUGGCGAAAUCUUUAUAUUUUCAUUUCUCUUAGGUAAAUACCUAUAAGUGGAAUUGCAGUAUCAUAUGGUAAAUACUAUGUUUAAAUUUUUUAGAAACUUAGCAGCUUUCCAAAGUGGCUAUAGGUUAUACCAUUUUACAUUCCCACCAGUGAUGUACUGCUUUUUUAUAUUGCUAUUAUAGAUUGUUAUUUAACUCUUUCAUGGUUGUCCAACUUCUUAUUGUUUAUGUUGUAUGUUUUUCCCAACUGGAUUUCAACAAGCUCAUUAGACGCAGAAGCUAGGGUUAUUCGUGGUUCCAUUUUUUGUGUGUUCUGUGCUUACGAUAGUGCUGAGUACAUACUUGGCAUUCAAUAAAUAUUUUCGAAUGACUAUUGAAUGGUUACAUUAUCUGCAAUAUGCUUUAUUUUAUUUUAUUAUAUUUUGAGACAGGGUCUUACUCUGUCACUCAGGCUGAAGUGCAGUGGCAUGAUGUCGGCUCACUGGAGCUUUCGCCUCCCGGGUUCAAAUGAUUCUCCCGUCUCAGCCUCCUAAGUAGCUGGGAUUACAGGCAUGCACCAUCAUGCCUGGCUAAUUUCUUUUGUUUGUUUGUAUUUUUAGUAGAGACGGGGUUUUGUUACAUUGGCCAGGCUGGUCUCGAAUUCCUGACCUCAGGUGAUCUACCCGCCUCACCCUCCCAAAGUGCUGGAAUUACAGGCAUGAGCUACCGCUCCCAGCUGAAUGAACUCAUUUUUUUUUUCUUUUUUUGAGACGGAGUCUCACUCUUGUUGCCCAGGCUGGAGUGCAAUGGCGCCAUCUCAGCUCACCCCAACCUCUGCCUCCUGGGUUCAAGCGAUUCUCCUGCCUCAGCCUCCCAAGUAGCUGGAAUUACAGGCAUGUGCCACCAUGCCCAGCUAAUUUUGUAUUUUUAGUAGAGACGGGGUUUCUCCAUGUGGGUGAGGCUGGUCUUGAACUCCCAACCUCAGGUGAUCCACCCCCCUCGGCCUCCCAAAGUGCUGGAAUUACAGGCGUGAGCCACCGCUCCUGGCCCUGAAUGUACUCAUUUUAAAGCACUAAGGCAACAGUUCUAGUUACCUACACGGCACCUAUUAUACUUUUUCUUCCUUAUUAAAAAAAACUAUUUUGUUCAAGAUGCCCACUUGAAAACACUCAGCUUCCAGACUCCCUGGAGUUUAUGGAUAGUUACAUAAUGUGGUUCAGGCCAAUGUAUACAUACGUGGAAGUUCUGGGCACAGACGAUUCCAGGAAAGUUUGUUAAGUGGAGGAGACUCAACUGGGAAGGCUUUCACCUUUUGCCUGUUGCUCUUUUCCUUUUUUCCCCUCUUCCUUGCCUGGAAUGCUGAUGAAACUUCCAAAGAUUGAGAGGUUCAGCCGCCAUCUCACAAAUAUGCGGAUUGGAGUCACAUGCUAAGGACGUCAGAGGGGAAAGACAGAAGGAGUCUGGGCUCCUGAUGGCACCAUGGAGUGGCCAUUUAGCUCUAGACUGCCCAUUUCCAGAUGUCACAUUACAUAAGAAUUAUAAUUCCUGUGGUAGCUGGGUUCUUGUUACAUGCCAUUAAAUACAGUCCUCGCUUUUACUGACAAUUUUUUUUUUUUUUUUGAGACCGAGUCUUGCUCUGUCGCCCAGGCUGGAGUGCAGUGGCGCAAUCUCGGCUCACUGGAAGCUCCGCCUCCUGGGUUCACGCCAUUCUCCUGCCUCAGCCUCCCGAGUAGCUGGGACUACAGGCAUGCGCCACCGUGCCCGGCUAAUUUUGUAUUUUUAGUAGAGACGAGGUUUCUCCAUGUUUGUCAGGCUGGUCUCGAAGUCUCAACCUCAGGUGAUCAGCCUGCCUCGGCCUCCCACAGUGCUGGGAUUACAGGCGUGAGCCACCACGCCCGGCUUACUGACAAUUUUACCUGCCACAUUGCCCUUCCUUAGAUUUCCCAAGUACCGUCUUUGUUCUCAUCAAUAAGCUACCAGCACUGCUGAGGAACAGGUAGGCUUGAGCAGGACAAUUAGAAGUAGGUGGGACCCAGGCACACAAUUUUUAUCAGUGGCACUUUCUUCUGAUACCAGGAAAAGAGGUGAGUCAUUCCACAUUAUAGCAUCACUAUUUUGUGAAUGGGAAAAUUAAGGUUCAAAGGGAAAAAAUAAUCAGCUUAAGCAUACAGAUUACAUCUCCAGCUUAUCUGUCCAUCCCUCACUCCUGUCUUACCACUUCCCUGAAUUAUUCUUCUCUGUUUAGUUUGCCUGGUAAACCCCAUUUCUUCUGUUUGUUUAAACUACAGUUUCUCAACCUCAGUGUUAUUGACAUGUGGGGCUGGACAAUUCUUUGUGGUGAGGGGCAGCUCUGUCCCUUAUAGGAUGUUUAACAGUAUCCCUGGCCUCUGCCCACCAGAUGCCAGUGGCACCCCUCCCCUCCUCCAAGUUGUGACAACCAAAAUUGUCUUUGGACAUUGCAGAAUGUCCCCUGGGGGCCAAGAUCUCCCCCACUGAGAUCACUACUCUCAAGUCAGGUCAAACACCACUCCAAUCUAUACCUGCUUUGUUCCCACAUGU
Molecule: long non-coding RNA, 24928 nt
Filed under: Homo sapiens (human)
Lineage: Eukaryota; Metazoa; Chordata; Mammalia; Primates; Hominidae
Description: long non-coding RNA NONHSAT192221.1
Source: RNAcentral